GACGAAGGGGGCUAGCGUUGUUCGGAAUUACUGGGCGUAAAGCGUGCGUAGACGGUUAUUUAAGUCGGAUGUGAAAGCCCCGGGCUCAACCUGGGAAUUGCAUUCGAGACUGAAUAGCUAGGGUGCGGUAGAGGGAAGCGGAAUUUCCGGUGUAGCGGUGAAAUGCGUAGAUAUCGGAAGGAACAUCAGUGGCGAAAGCGGCUUCCUGGACCAGCACCGACGUUCAGGCACGAAAGCGUGGGGAGCAAACAGG
This 253-nucleotide ribosomal RNA is filed under the name uncultured bacterium. RNAcentral's name for it is "partial 16S ribosomal RNA". It matches the Rfam family "Bacterial small subunit ribosomal RNA", at positions 524 to 776 of the family's 1533-position model. The record is from RNAcentral.